UAGAUUAGCGCCUGAACUAUAAAUAGUUGACGAGGAUGGUAGUUAUCGAAUUUUCGGCGGAUGCUACUUUGGGUUAUAUGCUCAUAGGUUAUUAUUAAAAAGCAAAAUUAACAUUGUAACAAAGUAAUAACUAAAUA
RNAcentral lists this non-coding RNA (137 nucleotides) under human gut metagenome. RNAcentral describes it as "glmS glucosamine-6-phosphate activated ribozyme". It matches the Rfam family "glmS glucosamine-6-phosphate activated ribozyme aptamer". From Rfam's summary of the family: This entry contains a glucosamine-6-phosphate activated ribozyme that is found in the mRNA for GlmS. GlmS is an enzyme that uses fructose-6-phosphate and glutamine to generate glucosamine-6-phosphate. RNAcentral also lists the same sequence under 1 other name. The record is from RNAcentral.